Molecule: ribosomal RNA, 416 nt
Filed under: uncultured bacterium
Lineage: Bacteria
Description: bacterial SSU rRNA
Rfam family: Bacterial small subunit ribosomal RNA
Source: RNAcentral
GGCCAGCAGCCGCGGUAAUACGGAGGGUGCAAGCGUUGUUCGGAAUUACUGGGCGUAAAGCGCACGUAGGCGGAUUCUUAAGUCGAUUGUGAAAUCCCCGGGCUUAACCUGGGAUGUGCAGUCGAAACUGAGGGUCUUGAAUGCCAGAGAGGAUGGCGGAAUUCCUGGUGUAGAAGUGAAAUUCGUAGAUAUCAGGAGGAACACCGGAGCCGAAGGGGGCUAUCUGGCUGUGCAUUGACGCUGAGGUGCGAAAGCGCGGGGAGCAAACAGGAUUAGAUACCCUGGUAGUCCGCGCCAUAAACGAUGGAUACUAGGUGUUCGGAGAGUUAACCCUCUGAGUACCGAAGCUAACGCAUUAAGUAUCCCGCCUGGGGAGUACGGUCGCAAGGCUAAAACUUAAAGGAAUUGGCGGGGGA